AGAGUUUGAUCCUGGCUCAGGACGAACGCUGGCGGCGCGCCUAACACAUGCAAGUCGAACGAGCGAGAGAGAGCUUGCUUUCUCAAGCGAGUGGCGAACGGGUGAGUAACGCGUGAGGAACCUGCCUCAAAGAGGGGGACAACAGUUGGAAACGACUGCUAAUACCGCAUAAGCCCACAGGUCGGCAUCGACCAGAGGGAAAAGNGCAAUCCGCUUUGAGAUGGCCUCGCGUCCGAUUAGCUAGUUGGUGAGGUAAUGGCCCACCAAGGCAACGAUCGGUAGCCGGACUGAGAGGUUGAACGGCCACAUUGGGACUGAGACACGGCCCAGACUCCGUACGGGAGGCA
Molecule: ribosomal RNA, 347 nt
Filed under: uncultured bacterium
Lineage: Bacteria
Description: bacterial SSU rRNA
Rfam family: Bacterial small subunit ribosomal RNA
Source: RNAcentral